RNAcentral lists this ribosomal RNA (367 nucleotides) under Rhodanobacter sp. RNAcentral describes it as "bacterial SSU rRNA". It matches the Rfam family "Bacterial small subunit ribosomal RNA", at positions 1054 to 1419 of the family's 1533-position model. The record is from RNAcentral. Lineage: Bacteria; Pseudomonadati; Pseudomonadota; Gammaproteobacteria; Lysobacterales; Rhodanobacteraceae.
GUCAGCUCGUGUCGUGAGAUGUUGGGUUAAGUCCCGCAACGAGCGCAACCCUUGUCCUUAGUUGCCAGCACGUAAUGGUGGGAACUCUAAGGAGACUGCCGGUGACAAACCGGAGGAAGGUGGGGAUGACGUCAAGUCCUCAUGGCCCUUACGGCCAGGGCUACACACGUACUACAAUGGUCGGUACAGAGGGUUGCAAUACCGCGAGGUGGAGCCAAUCCCAGAAAGCCGAUCCCAGUCCGGAUCGGAGUCUGCAACUCGACUCCGUGAAGUCGGAAUCGCUAGUAAUCGCGGAUCAGCUAUGCCGCGGUGAAUACGUUCCCGGGCCUUGUACACACCGCCCGUCACACCAUGGGAGUGAGUUGCU